Molecule: ribosomal RNA, 432 nt
Filed under: uncultured bacterium
Lineage: Bacteria
Description: partial 16S ribosomal RNA
Rfam family: Bacterial small subunit ribosomal RNA
Source: RNAcentral
AACGAACGCUGGCGGCAUGCCUAACACAUGCAAGUCGAACGAGACCUUCGGGUCUAGUGGCGCACGGGUGCGUAACGCGUGGGAACCUGCCCUUAGGUUCGGAAUAACUCCCCGAAAGGGGUGCUAAUACCGGAUAAUGUCUUCGGACCAAAGAUUUAUCGCCUUUGGAUGGGCCCGCGUUGGAUUAGCUAGUUGGUAGGGUAAAAGCCUACCAAGGCGACGAUCCAUAGCUGGUCUGAGAGGAUGAUCAGCCACACUGGGACUGAGACACGGCCCAGACUCCUACGGGAGGCAGCAGUGGGGAAUAUGGGACAAUGGGCGAAAGCCUGAUCCAGCAAUGCCGCGGGAGUGAUGAAGGCCUUAGGGUUGUAAAGCUCUUUUACCCGGGAUGAUAAUGACAGGACCGGGAGAAUAAGCCCCGGCUAACUCCGU